RNAcentral lists this ribosomal RNA (3075 nucleotides) under Actinomycetota bacterium. Its description in RNAcentral is "Actinobacteria bacterium (freshwater metagenome) 23S ribosomal RNA". It matches the Rfam family "Bacterial large subunit ribosomal RNA". The record is from RNAcentral. Lineage: Bacteria; Bacillati; Actinomycetota.
CGAGCAUCUUUGAUUCUUCCAAGCUACAAAGAGCCAACGGUGGAUGCCUUGGCGCCAAGAACCGAUGAAGGACGUGGGCGACUGCGAAAAGCCGCGGGUAGAUGUCUACCUAUCUGUGAUCCGCGGAUGUCCGAAUGGGGAAACCCGGCACUCGUCAUGGAGUGCCACUCCUGCCUGAACACAUAGGGCAGGGAGAGGGAACCAGGGGAAUUGAAACAUCUCAGUACCCUGAGGAAAGGAAAGAAAACUCGACACCCUGAGUAGCGGCGAGCGAAAUGGGUAGAGGCUAAACCGUGCCGGUGCAAUAGCCAGGUGGCGUUGCCGGUGCGGGGUCGUGGGAUAGCGAGCUGUCGCACCUGAGACAGCACGGAGUUACCAAAUUGCUGUGUAGUGGAACCGUCCUGGAAAGUUCGGCCGCAGCGGGUAAUAGCCCCGUACACGAAACACACGCAAUCUCCGCGCUCGAUCCCAAGUAACGCCGGAACCGUGCAAGCCGGCGUGAAUCUGCGGGGACCACCCCGUAAGCCUAAGUAUUCCUUGGCGACCGAUAGUGAACCAGUACCGUGAGGGAAAGGUGAAAAGAACCCCGGGAGGGGAGUGAAAUAGAACCUGAAACCGUUGGUUUACAAACAGUCAGAGUGUCGUCCGCAAGGGCCACGAUGGCGUGCCUUUUGAAGAAUGAGCCUACGAGUUACGGUGUGUGGCGAGGUUAAGCCGAGAGGUGAAGCCGGAGCGAAAGCGAGUCUGAACAGGGCGUUCAGUCGCAUGCUGUAGACCCGAAGCGAAGUGAUCUAUCCAUGGGCAGGUUGAAGCGGGGGUAAGACCCCGUGGAGGACCGAACCCACGUCAGUUGAAAAUGGCGGGGAUGACCUGUGGAUAGGGGUGAAAGGCCAAUCAAACUUCGCGAUAGCUGGUUCUCCUCGAAAUGCAUUUAGGUGCAGCGUCGCGCGUUCAGUACCGGAGGUAGAGCACUGGAUGGGCUAGGGGUCCUACAAGAUUACCGAACCCAGCCAAACUCCGAAUGCCGGUACUCCAGAGCGCGGCAGUGAGUCCACGGGGGAUGAGCUUCGUUGGACGAAAGGGAAACAGCCCAGAUCAUCAGCUAAGGCCCCUAAUUCUGUACUAAGUGGAAAACGAUGUGAAAUUGCCCAGACAGCCAGGAGGUUGGCUUAGAAGCAGCCACCCUUGAAAGAGUGCGUAACAGCUCACUGGUCGAGUGAUUUUGCGCGGACAAUUCAACGGGGCUCAAGUACAGAGCCGAAGCUAUGGGAUCGAUCUAACGGUCGAUCGGUAGAGGAGCGUUGAUGGAGCGUCGAAGCGGCGGGGUGACCCGGCGUGGAGUUCCAUCAAGUGAGAAUGUAGGUAUGAGUAGCGAGAGAGAGGUGAGAAACCUCUCCGCCGGAAGCCCAAGGGUUCCUGGGGAAGGCUAAUCCCCCCAGGGUGAGUCGGGAGCUAAGGCGAGGCCGCAAGGCGUAGUCGAUGCACAACUGGUUGAUAUUCCAGUACCACCGUGUUCGCGCCAGGUCCAAGAUCGACGACGUGGGGGCUGCCUUCGGGCGAACCCACCUAGUUGGUGGCGGAUAACUGAUGGAGGACGCAGGAGGGUAGGUGAUCCGUGGCGAUGGUUGUCCACGGGUAAGCGAGUAGGGCAGGUCGAUGAGAGUUGACCGCAUUGUCCGAGACGUGAUUCCGAGCCGUUUAGGCGAAGUCACUGAUCCCACACUGCCGAGAAAAGCCCAGCAGUGAGCUGACACGGUGCCCGUACCCCAAACCGACACAGGUGGGCGGGUAGAGAAUACCAAGGCGAUCGGGAGAACUAUGGUUAAGGAACUCGGCAAAUUACCUCCGUAACUUCGGAAGAAGGAGGACCCAAAUAGGGUGUAGGGCCUUGCGCUCGAAGCCCGAGUGGGUGGCACAAAUCAGGGGGUAGCGACUGUUUAUCAAAAACACAGCAGCGUGCGAAGCCGUAAGGCGCUGUAUACGCUGUGACGCCUGCCCAAUGCUGGAAGGUCACGGGAAACGGUUAGUCGAAAGACGAAGCUGUGAACCUAAGCCCCAGUGAAUGGCGGCCGUAACUAUAACGGUCCUAAGGUAGCGAAAUUCCUUGUCGGGUAAGUUCCGACCUGCACGAAUGGCGUAACGACUUCCCCACUGUCUCAACCAUAGACCCGGCGAAAUUGAAGUACGAGUAAAGAUGCUCGUUAGCUGCGGAAGGACGGAAAGACCCCGUGGACCUUUACUAUAACUUGAUGUUGAGAUUUGACCUGCACUGUGUAGGAUAGGUGGGAGACUGUGAAGCCGGCGCGCCAGCGUCGGUGGAGUCAUCGUUGAAAUACCACCCUGUGUAUGUCGGGUCUCUAACUUUGGUCCAUUAUCUGGAUCAGGAACAGCGUCAGGCGGGUAGUUUGACUGGGGCGGUCGCCUCCUAAAAUGUAACGGAGGCGCCCAAAGGUUCCCUCAGGCUGGUUGGCAAUCAGCCGUCGAGUGCAAUGACACAAGGGAGCUUGACUGCGAGACUGACAGGUCAAGCAGGUGCGAAAGCAGGGCAUAGUGACCCGGCCAUAGCGUGUGGAAGCGUGGUCGCUCAACGGAUAAAAGGUACCCCGGGGAUAACAGGCUAAUCUUUCCCAAGAGUCCAUAUCGACGGAAAGGUUUGGCACCUCGAUGUCGGCUCAUCGCAUCCUGGGGCUGAAGCAGGUCCCAAGGGUUGGGCUGUUCGCCCAUUAAAGCGGUACGCGAGCUGGGUUCAGAACGUCGUGAGACAGUUCGGUCCCUAUCCUCCGCAGCCGGAAGAGUCUUGAUGAAAGCUAUCCCUAGUACGAGAGGACCGGGAUGGACGGAGCUCUGGUGUGUCAGUUGUCCUGCCAAGGGCACGGCUGAUUAGCCACCUCCGGAAGGGAUAACCGCUGAAAGCAUCUAAGUGGGAAACCCGUUCAAAGAUGAGGACUCUCACAGGGUCAACCUGGUAAGGCCCGUGGCUAGACCACCACGUUGAUAGGCCGGAAGUGUAAGGACGGUGACGUUCGCAGCUGACCGGUACUAAUCGGCCGAGGGCUUGGUUUGAAUCGUGCUCGU